CCUGGCUCAGGAUGAACGCUGGCGGCGUGCUUAACACAUGCAAGUCGAACGAUGAUGCCCACUUGUGGGUGGAUUAGUGGCGAACGGGUGAGUAACACGUGAGUAACCUGCCCUUGACUCUGGGAUAAGCCUGGGAAACUGGGUCUAAUACCGGAUAUGACCUUCCAUCGCAUGGUGGUUGGUGGAAAGCUUUUGUGGUUUUGGAUGGACUCGCGGCCUAUCAGCUUGUUGGUGGGGUAAUGGCCUACCAAGGCGACGACGGGUAGCCGGCCUGAGAGGGUGACCGGCCACACUGGGACUGAGACACGGCCCAGACUCCUACGGGAGGCAGCAGUGGGGAAUAUUGCACAAUGGGCGCAAGCCUGAUGCAGCGACGCCGCGUGAGGGAUGACGGCCUUCGGGUUGUAAACCUCUUUCAGUAGGGAAGAAGCGUAAGUGACGGUACCUGCAGAAGAAGCGCCGGCUAACUACGUGCCAGCAGCCGCGGUAAUACGUAGGGCGCAAGCGUUAUCCGGAAUUAUUGGGCGUAAAGAGCUCGUAGGCGGUUUGUCGCGUCUGCCGUGAAAGUCCGGGGCUCAACUCCGGAUCUGCGGUGGGUACGGGCAGACUAGAGUGAUGUAGGGGAGACUGGAAUUCCUGGUGUAGCGGUGAAAUGCGCAGAUAUCAGGAGGAACACCGAUGGCGAAGCAGGUCUCUGGGCAUUAACUGACGCUGAGAGCGAAAGCAUGGGGAGCGAACAGGAUUAGAUACCCUGGAGUCCAUGCCGUAAACGUUGGGCACUAGGUGUGGGGGACAUUCCACGUUUUCCGCGCCGUAGCUAACGCAUUAAGUGCCCCGCCUGGGGAGUACGGCCGCAAGGCUAAAACUCAAAGGAAUUGACGGGGGCCCGCACAAGCGGCGGAGCAUGCGGAUUAAUUCGAUGCAACGCGAAGAACCUUACCAAGGCUUGACAUGAACCGGAAAGACCUGGAAACAGGUCCCCCACUUGUGGUCGGUUUACAGGUGGUGCAUGGUUGUCGUCAGCUCGUGUCGUGAGAUGUUGGGUUAAGUCCCGCAACGAGCGCAACCCUCGUUCUAUGUUGCCAGCACGUGAUGGUGGGGACUCAUAGGAGACUGCCGGGGUCAACUCGGAGGAAGGUGGGGACGACGUCAAAUCAUCAUGCCCCUUAUGUCUUGGGCUUCACGCAUGCUACAAUGGCCGGUACAAAGGGUUGCGAUACUGUGAGGUGGAGCUAAUCCCAAAAAGCCGGUCUCAGUUCGGAUUGGGGUCUGCAACUCGACCCCAUGAAGUCGGAGUCGCUAGUAAUCGCAGAUCAGCAACGCUGCGGUGAAUACGUUCCCGGGCCUUGUACACACCGCCCGUCAAG
RNAcentral lists this ribosomal RNA (1367 nucleotides) under bacterium 404. Its description in RNAcentral is "bacterial SSU rRNA". It matches the Rfam family "Bacterial small subunit ribosomal RNA". The record is from RNAcentral.